RNAcentral lists this ribosomal RNA (418 nucleotides) under uncultured bacterium. Its description in RNAcentral is "bacterial SSU rRNA". It matches the Rfam family "Bacterial small subunit ribosomal RNA", at positions 917 to 1338 of the family's 1533-position model. The record is from RNAcentral.
GGGCCCGCACAAGCGGUGGAGUAUGUGGUUUAAUUCGAUGCAACGCGAAGAACCUUACCAGGGCUUAAAUGUUAGGUGACAGAUCUAGAAAUAGAUUUUUCUUCGGACACUUAACAAGGUGCUGCAUGGUUGUCGUCAGCUCGUGCCGUGAGGUGUCAGGUUAAGUCCUAUAACGAGCGCAACCCCUGUUGUUAGUUGCCAGCGAGUAAUGUCGGGAACUCUAGCAAGACUGCCAGUGCAAACUGUGAGGAAGGUGGGGAUGACGUCAAAUCAUCACGGCCCUUACGUCCUGGGCUACACACGUGCUACAAUGGUAGGUACAGAGAGCAGCCAAUGCGCGAGCAUGAGCAAAUCUAUAAAACCUAUCUCAGUUCGGAUCGGAGUCUGCAACUCGACUCCGUGAAGCUGGAAUCGCUAG